RNAcentral lists this ribosomal RNA (253 nucleotides) under uncultured bacterium. RNAcentral's name for it is "partial 16S ribosomal RNA". It matches the Rfam family "Bacterial small subunit ribosomal RNA", at positions 524 to 776 of the family's 1533-position model. The record is from RNAcentral.
UACGUAGGGUGCGAGCGUUAAUCGGAAUUACUGGGCGUAAAGCGUGCGCAGGCGGCUUUGCAAGACAGAUGUGAAAUCCCCGGGCCCAACCUGGGAACUGCAUUUGUGACUGCAAGGCUAGAGUACGGCAGAGGGGGAUGGAAUUCCGCGUGUAGCAGUGAAAUGCGUAGAUAUGCAGAGGAACACCAAUGGCGAAGGCAAUCCCCUGGGCCUGUACUGACGCUCAUGCACGAAAGCGUGGGGAGCAAACAGG